Molecule: ribosomal RNA, 1688 nt
Filed under: Salmonella enterica subsp. enterica serovar Kentucky
Lineage: Bacteria; Pseudomonadati; Pseudomonadota; Gammaproteobacteria; Enterobacterales; Enterobacteriaceae
Description: partial 23S ribosomal RNA
Rfam family: Bacterial large subunit ribosomal RNA
Source: RNAcentral
UGCUGGAGGUAUCAGAAGUGCGAAUGCUGACAUAAGUAACGAUAAAGCGGGUGAAAAGCCCGCUCGCCGGAAGACCAAGGGUUCCUGUCCAACGUUAAUCGGGGCAGGGUGAGUCGACCCCUAAGGCGAGGCCGAAAGGCGUAGUCGAUGGGAAACGGGUUAAUAUUCCCGUACUUGGUGUUACUGCGAAGGGGGGACGGAGAAGGCUAUGUUGGCCGGGCGACGGUUGUCCCGGUUUAAGCGUGUAGGUGUGUGUUCCAGGUAAAUCCGGUUCACUUUAACACUGAGGCGUGAUGACGAGGCACUACGGUGCUGAAGCAACAAAUGCCCUGCUUCCAGGAAAAGCCUCUAAGCAUCAGGUAACAUCAAAUCGUACCCCAAACCGACACAGGUGGUCAGGUAGAGAAUACCAAGGCGCUUGAGAGAACUCGGGUGAAGGAACUAGGCAAAAUGGUGCCGUAACUUCGGGAGAAGGCACGCUGACACGUAGGUGAAGUGAUUUACUCACGGAGCUGAAGUCAGUCGAAGAUACCAGCUGGCUGCAACUGUUUAUUAAAAACACAGCACUGUGCAAACACGAAAGUGGACGUAUACGGUGUGACGCCUGCCCGGUGCCGGAAGGUUAAUUGAUGGGGUCAGCGCAAGCGAAGCUCCUGAUCGAAGCCCCGGUAAACGGCGGCCGUAACUAUAACGGUCCUAAGGUAGCGAAAUUCCUUGUCGGGUAAGUUCCGACCUGCACGAAUGGCGUAAUGAUGGCCAGGCUGUCUCCACCCGAGACUCAGUGAAAUUGAACUCGCUGUGAAGAUGCAGUGUACCCGCGGCAAGACGGAAAGACCCCGUGAACCUUUACUAUAGCUUGACACUGAACAUUGAGCCUUGAUGUGUAGGAUAGGUGGGAGGCUUUGAAGUGUGGACGCCAGUCUGCAUGGAGCCGACCUUGAAAUACCACCCUUUAAUGUUUGAUGUUCUAACGUGGACCCGUAAUCCGGGUUGCGGACAGUGUCUGGUGGGUAGUUUGACUGGGGCGGUCUCCUCCUAAAGAGUAACGGAGGAGCACGAAGGUUGGCUAAUCCUGGUCGGACAUCAGGAGGUUAGUGCAAUGGCAUAAGCCAGCUUGACUGCGAGCGUGACGGCGCGAGCAGGUGCGAAAGCAGGUCAUAGUGAUCCGGUGGUUCUGAAUGGAAGGGCCAUCGCUCAACGGAUAAAAGGUACUCCGGGGAUAACAGGCUGAUACCGCCCAAGAGUUCAUAUCGACGGCGGUGUUUGGCACCUCGAUGUCGGCUCAUCACAUCCUGGGGCUGAAGUAGGUCCCAAGGGUAUGGCUGUUCGCCAUUUAAAGUGGUACGCGAGCUGGGUUUAGAACGUCGUGAGACAGUUCGGUCCCUAUCUGCCGUGGGCGCUGGAGAACUGAGGGGGGCUGCUCCUAGUACGAGAGGACCGGAGUGGACGCAUCACUGGUGUUCGGGUUGUCAUGCCAAUGGCACUGCCCGGUAGCUAAAUGCGGAAGAGAUAAGUGCUGAAAGCAUCUAAGCACGAAACUUGCCCCGAGAUGAGUUCUCCCUGAGACUUUAAGUCUCCUGAAGGAACGUUGAAGACGACGACGUUGAUAGGCCGGGUGUGUAAGCGCAGCGAUGCGUUGAGCUAACCGGUACUAAUGAACCGUGAGGCUUAACCUUACAACGCCGAAG